Long non-coding RNA from Panicum virgatum (switchgrass), 1220 nucleotides. RefSeq lists it as uncharacterized. The transcript has 2 exons. The record is from RefSeq and is a predicted model, not a curated record. NCBI's taxonomy places the organism in Eukaryota, Viridiplantae, Streptophyta, Magnoliopsida, Poales, Poaceae.
CGAUAUUCAAGUAUUUUCUUUCCAGAUUUGCAGGCUAUUCAAUUCUCCCACCGACCUUCCUCCCUUCACAAAUGGCAUCUCUAUAAAGAGCCCACACAUCAAGCCACGGCGCAUCUCUGUCCGUCCCCACUCUCCCCUUCCCAGAGGCGAGCUGAGCUACCCUCUUCCUCGGCCGUGGCUGCAAGCUCUCAGCUCAGCUCGGCCAUGGUGGAUUGGUGGCGCCGGCGGAUCGGUCCGGCCGGCUCGAUCGCCCGCGGCCUAACAUUAGGCUCGGGGACUAUGGUGCAGCCAAGGAUGACUUGCCGAUCGAUGGGCGCCACUGAUGCGCGUGUGCUGAUCGAUCGGUCGGCCAUCGGCAAGUUGUUCUUGGCUACACCGUGGCCCCUGCUCCUGAUGUAAGGCCUUGUCCGCGGCGACACUUCCCAUCUGUUGAUCGGGGCAAGAUCAAGGUAACAUCGACCAAACUACAGCAGCUGUUCCAAUCAUGGUAAUAGCCGGAUCAAGCUGCUUUGUUUUAAUUUCUCCCUGAUUCGAGUUCUUCUUUCCUGAUGAAUAUCUUCAGUUCAGAGUUCAGACUCAGCUCCAUGCCUUGAUGAUGAUGAGCAACUGUGUUUGCUCCGACAGCUUAGCUUCGGCGAACAACACACGUGCGUCUUUUUUUUUCUUAGCAAAACGACGAGUAAAUCCUUUGCGUGUUCUUGAUGAAAACGCUAGGUACAUACAUCGCAUCGCCGCCGCUAGUGUCACAGGAGACUCGACGAGCAGGGUCAAACAGGAGAUAACGGGAUAAGAUGUGUACGUCUUGGGCAUGGCACGGCACGUCGGUCUUAUCCGGAUAUCUGGAUAUACAUGAGCUGCACGAUCCAGGAGCUCGAUUUUUAUGGGCGCGACAGGAAGCUCUUGCAAAUUGCGGCGGGCGCUGCUGCCAAGGCCAUGCGGUGGUCACCUUGCGGCUUUUCUAGUGCCACCUUGCGGCCCAGCUAGCUGCAGCUGGUGGUCAGCGUCGGCCUCUAGCUAGUGGUGGUGAUCACUGAUCAGUACUCGGUUGAUUUGGUCGGUGGCCGUAAAUUUUAGUCGAGUUACAGUUUCAUCGGUUUGUUUCAGUGUUUCAGUUUGUUUCAUCAGUACUAGUUUAAUUUAUACGUUUAUUUGUUUGGCCGUAUUAGUUAAUUUGUCAAAUAUUUAUUUGUUUGUGUUAAUCAUUCAAGCCGCCAACCGAA